GGUGGAUGAGUGGCGAACGGGUGAGUAACACGUGAGUAACCUGCCCCUGAUUUCGGGAUAAGCCUGGGAAACUGGGUCUAAUACCGGAUAUGACCUCCCCUUGCAUGAGGGUUGGUGGAAAGUUUUUCGAUCGGGGAUGGGCUCGCGGCCUAUCAGCUUGUUGGUGGGGUAAUGGCCUACCAAGGCGACGACGGGUAGCCGGCCUGAGAGGGCGACCGGCCACACUGGGACUGAGACACGGCCCAGACUCCUACGGGAGGCAGCAGUGGGGAAUAUUGCACAAUGGGGGAAACCCUGAUGCAGCGACGCAGCGUGCGGGAUGACGGCCUUCGGGUUGUAAACCGCUUUCAGCAGGGAAGAAGCGAAAGUGACGGUACCUGCAGAAGAAGUACCGGCUAACUACGUGCCAGCAGCCGCGGUAAUACGUAGGGUACGAGCGUUGUCCGGAAUUAUUGGGCGUAAAGAGCUCGUAGGUGGUUGGUCACGUCUGCUGUGGAAACGCAACGCUUAACGUUGCGCGUGCAGUGGGUACGGGCUGACUAGAGUGCAGUAGGGGAGUCUGGAAUUCCUGGUGUAGCGGUGAAAUGCGCAGAUAUCAGGAGGAACACCGGUGGCGAAGG
Molecule: ribosomal RNA, 620 nt
Filed under: Brevibacterium sediminis
Lineage: Bacteria; Bacillati; Actinomycetota; Actinomycetes; Micrococcales; Brevibacteriaceae
Description: bacterial SSU rRNA
Rfam family: Bacterial small subunit ribosomal RNA
Source: RNAcentral